RNAcentral lists this long non-coding RNA (1443 nucleotides) under Equus asinus (donkey). RNAcentral's name for it is "lncRNA (ENSEASG00005024543.1)". Lineage: Eukaryota; Metazoa; Chordata; Mammalia; Perissodactyla; Equidae. The record is from RNAcentral.
GACAGCAGCCGCCGCCAGUCAGCAGCGGAGGCGGACGCAGAGCCUGGCCAAUGAGACGCGCGGAGGUGGCAGGGGGCGGGGUGUCUGCGGCCGGGGGAGCCCAGGGUAGGUGGGCGCCGAGUCAGACCCGGGGAUCCCGUGCGUGGGAGGUGUGCAGGCGGCGGCCGGGAGAGGGGUGUUUCACCAUUAAAACUGCCAGCUUUCUGCAGAUACUUCAGCAAGGGGUGGGAGUGCGGGGCGCGCCUGAAGCCCGAGUGUUAUUUUUGCAGUCCGUGAAAAUGUUCCCGCGUACCACAGAUUGAGGAUAGAUACCUGUUUGGCGGAUAGAGCCAUAGCACACCACAACAACUACCCCGAGAGGGCCCAGGCCCUUCUCAAUAGACACAAACUCUGCUCGCCACAUCUGUUCUCGGGAGGGCCAAGAUGCGUUGAGGAGUAAGCAGUGGGAUGUGUGGUGCCUAAUGAUAGGAGGAAAGAUUUAGGGCGUCGAAGAAAGUAUCCAGCAAAGGCUCUCCCCCAGAAGCACAACCCCUUCCUAUUCCUGUAGAGAUUUCUGCUGUGAUAGGUGUUUACUUUGUGAUCAAAGUGGAAAUGGCUUAAGUUACCCUUCAAGAAAUGCUUACCUUUUAAUAGAUUCUUGAAGUUCUCAAGGAAAGAGGAUGUUAAAAGCUAGAACGUUGGCAGGGACGUGGGAACUGCAAGAGGGCCAGCCCAUCGCCCGCCAGAUCACACCUAUUAUUGCCAACCGCACCUACCUGUAAGACUCAGUGCCCCUGUCAAUGGGUAUAUCUCAGACUUUACACUGCAUGACUCAAUCAGCCUACACCAGGACAAGUGCACUGUCAGCGCCUUCAAUAAACCAAGUUCUAGAAGAGUCUGAGGAUUUGGACAACACUAAUCAACCAAGCCAGAGGCACCCUUGCAGGACUCUACAUACACUCUUGACAUAUAUGACACGGAGAUGGAUCUGAAUAAGAAAAGGUUAGAGGAAGAGAGCUACUCCACCAUGACUCCCAAGAAUUCUGCUAAGUCAUUCUAGCUGCUCACCAACAUUUGUUUGCAAAGAACAUUUCUAUGCCUCCAAAAGCCUGGAAUAGGAACCAAGAAAAAUGCUUCUCCUUAAUGUGCUUGGAAAGAAUUCAUAUGUUGAAACCUAAUCCCCCAUAUGAUGGCAUUUGAAGGUGGGGGUCUUUGAGACGUGAUUACAUCAUAAGGAUGGACCCUUCAUGAGCUUAAUGCCCUUAUAAAAGAGACCCCGGAAAGCUCCCUUGCCCCUUCCACCGUGAGAGGACACAGUGAAAAGGCCACCAUCUAUGAACCAGGAAGUGGGCUCUCAUCAGACACUGAACCUGCUGGGGCCUUGAUCUUGGACUCUAGAUCUGUGAUAAAUAAAUUUAUGUUGUUUAUAAGCCACCCAGGCUAUGGUAUUUUGUUAUAGCAGCC